CAAGGCUUGACAUAUAGAGGAAAAGUGCAGAGAUGCACUCCCCGCAAGGUCUCUAUACAGGUGGUGCAUGGUUGUCGUCAGCUCGUGUCGUGAGAUGUUGGGUUAAGUCCCGCAACGAGCGCAACCCUCGUCCUAUGUUGCCAGCACGUAAUGGUGGGAACUCAUGGGAUACUGCCGGGGUCAACUCGGAGGAAGGUGGGGAUGACGUCAAAUCAUCAUGCCCCUUAUGUCUUGGGCUUCACGCAUGCUACAAUGGCCGGUACAGAGGGCUGCAAUACCGCAAGGUGGAGCGAAUCCCAAAAAGCCGGUCUCAGUUCGGAUUGAGGUCUGCAACUCGACCUCAUGAAGUCGGAGUCGCUAGUAAUCGUAGAUCAGCAACGCUACGGUGAAUACGUUCCC
This 399-nucleotide ribosomal RNA is filed under the name uncultured bacterium. RNAcentral describes it as "bacterial SSU rRNA". It matches the Rfam family "Bacterial small subunit ribosomal RNA", at positions 975 to 1375 of the family's 1533-position model. The record is from RNAcentral.